This 468-nucleotide ribosomal RNA is filed under the name uncultured bacterium. RNAcentral describes it as "partial 16S ribosomal RNA". It matches the Rfam family "Bacterial small subunit ribosomal RNA", at positions 28 to 507 of the family's 1533-position model. The record is from RNAcentral.
GACGAACGCUGGCGGCGUGCUUAACACAUGCAAGUCGAACGGAAAGGCCCUGCUUUUGUGGGGUGCUCGAGUGGCGAACGGGUGAGUAACACGUGAGUAACCUGCCCUUGACUUUGGGAUAACUUCAGGAAACUGGGGCUAAUACCGGAUAGGAGCUCCUGCUGCAUGGUGGGGGUUGGAAAGUUGCGGGGGUUGGGGAUGGACUCGCGGCUUAUCAGCUUGUUGGUGGGGUAGUGGCUUACCAAGGCUUUGACGGGUAGCCGGCCUGAGAGGGUGACCGGCCACAUGGGGACUGAGAUACGGCCCAGACUCCUACGGGAGGCAGCAGUGGGGAAUAUUGCACAAUGGGCGGAAGCCUGAUGCAGCAACGCCGCGUGCGGGAUGACGGCCUUCGGGUUGUAAACCGCUUUCGCCUGUGACGAAGCGUGAGUGACGGUAAUGGGUAAAGAAGCACCGGCUAACUACGUG